This is a long non-coding RNA of Sarcophilus harrisii (Tasmanian devil), 721 nucleotides long. RefSeq lists it as uncharacterized. The record is from RefSeq and is a predicted model, not a curated record. NCBI's taxonomy places the organism in Eukaryota, Metazoa, Chordata, Mammalia, Dasyuromorphia, Dasyuridae. The transcript is spliced from 3 exons.
CCCCCCCCCCCCAGGCCCGGGAGGCCCGGGAGGCCCGGGAGAAGGCGGCCCGAGGCGCAGGUGCUGCGGGGAGCGCCCACGGGCCGACGCCAAAGCCCGGGGCGCCUCUGGGCGCGCGCGCGCGUGGAUGCGCGAGGAUGCGCCUGAGCGCGCGCCCCGAGCGCCCGGGCCCACGUGUGGAGUCGGGAAACGCCGCGCGGGCGGGGCCGGGCUCGGGAAUGUGGCGGGGGCCGGGCCGCCGGAAGCAGCCCGGCUCGGGGAGGCGCCUCCCCGAAGGGGCAGGAAGGUGAUGUAAAGAUCCUGAAACAAACCUGCUACCAUUAUGUCUAUUUUGUUGAUCAAUCAGUCCAGUAUGCUUAGUUGAAAGAGCUGGGGCUCCAAGAAGAAAAUGAAGGUCAUCUGUAUCAAGCAAUCUCAACUGAAUAUACUAUUUCAGAGUGUUUCCUCCAGGAAGAAAAGAAGAUUUGAGAUGAUUUGUCUAAAUGAUUUGCAUAAUUAUUUAAAAUUUGGCCUCUCGUAUCCUGUUACACAGUAUGCAACUUUCCCCCCUUCGAUUCCCCUUGUGUUUCAAUUUCUUUCUCCCUCCCUUCCCCUCAUCCCCCUCUAGAGGCAAAUAAUUAAAUAUAUGUUAAACAUGUCCAGUUCUCCUACACAUAUUUCCAUGAUUAUCAUGUUGCUCAAGAAAAAUCAGAUCAAAAAGGGGAAAAAAUGAGAAAGAAAG